Long non-coding RNA from Equus caballus (horse), 3770 nucleotides. NCBI's taxonomy places the organism in Eukaryota, Metazoa, Chordata, Mammalia, Perissodactyla, Equidae. The record is from Ensembl.
CUUGGCUUAUAGAAGUUAAGGAAUUUGUCUAAGUUCACACAGCUGGGUCCUGGAAGCAUUGAGCCUAACCCUGGCCUCUUGACUCUGUUUUUAUUCCUCUGGAAUCUUAAUCCUUUUGAUGUGAGAAUGGGUGAAUUCAGGACUGGGGUGUUUCAUAAACUGUUUUAUUAAUUUAUGAAAUCCUUUUUACGUGAGAAUGACAGAAGGAAUCCUUUUCUGCAUGACCACUGCUGGGGUUGGACUUUUCAGGUAGAGAAGUUCUGUUUUCACACCAACUGGAUGAACUUCCUGGGAGGCCGGAAGGAAGCGAGGGGGAGUGAAUGGUGGGUUAUCAGAUGGCCUCCUCUGAACCUCCCAAACAGGGUUCGCUUGUGGUGAUAGCCAGGCGACCUUCUAUCAGGCUGACCUUCCUCAGAUAACACCUAUAAAAUCUGGGGCGUAGAAAAACUAUCUGAAGGCACUGAGCAUGAACAAAAGCAGGAAAAUUCUGGAAAGAAGUCAAUAUUCAGAAGAAGGGACUAGCACUGGGUGAGUUUCCUGUUUUUUGGGCUUCAAUCCUGAGAACAUAUGGCCAACAUAUGGGUAAGAGGAGGAGAGGAGAGAAAAUGGGACAGGAAAAAUAUUUGAAGAAAUUAUGGUUGAAAUUUCCCCAAAUUUGGUGAAAGGCAUUUAUAGAUACAAGAAGAUGAGUGAAACAGCAGAAUAAAUACAAAGUAAACCAUGCCUACGCACAUCAUAAUCAAACUGUGAAAAACAGACAAGUUUUGAAAGUGGCCAGAGCCAGAGUCACUUUAUACAGGACAAUAAUUCAAAAGUGCUCUGACUUCUCAUUAGAAACCAUGGAGGGAGCCGGCUCCGUGGCUGAGCGGUUAAGUUCGCGUGCUCUGCCGCGGCGGCCCAGGGUUUGGAUCCUGGGCGCGGACAUGGCACUGCUCGCCAGGCCACGUUGAGGCGGCGUCCCACAUCCCACAACUAGAAGGACCUGCAACUAAGAUAUACAACUGUGUACAGGGGUGGUUUGGGGAGAUAAAAGCAGAAAAAAAAAAGAUUGGCAACAGUUGUUAGCCCAGGUGCCAAUCUUUAGAAAAAAAAAAAGAAAAAAAGAAACCAUGGAGGCCAGAAAACAGUGGGACAACAUCUUUAAAGUGAUGAAAGAAAAAACAAACCUCUUGACCCAGAAUUCUGUAUCCAGAGAAACUAGUGUUCCCGAAUGAAGGUGAAAUAAAGACAUUUUUAGAUAAAACAAAAUGAAGAGUCUCUCACCAUCAGACCUGUGCUACAAGAGAUGCUAACAGGACUUCUUCAGGUGGAAGGAGAGUGAUGCCAGACAGGAACUUGGGUCUUCAGGAAGGAAUGAAGAGCAUGCAGGACGGUGAAUGUGUGGGUAAGUGGAAACAUCCUUGGCAGUCUGCUGCGCGGGCAGGAAGCUCAACCCAAAGAGUGGAGACUUGGGGGCACUGGUACAAACCAGACCCUGGUUGGAUGUCAACCAGAAGAAGCAGUUUUUAUUUAUUUAUUUAUUUUUAAGGUUUUAUUUUUCCUUUUUCUCCACAAAGCCCGCCAGCACACAGUUGUGUAUUUUAGUUGUGGGUCCUUCUAGUUGUGGCAUUUGGGAUGUCGCCUCAGCAUGGCUUGAUGAGUGGUGCCAUGUCCGUGCCCAGGAUUUGAACCAGUGAAACACUGGGCUGCUGAAUCGGAGCACAAGAACUUAACCACUCGGACACGGGCCGGCCCCAGGAAGAGGCAGUUUUGAGUGUGAUAUAGCUACGUUGUUUGUAUAUUGACCCUGCACACCGAACCUCCAGCCCACUUCCUGGGAACUUGUGCCAAGGCUUGGGGUGGAAGUUGGCGAGGGAGGUAGGAAAUGAUGGGUUUGUUCAUCCAAAAAAGAGAAUGGCAAAAACUGGUUCAUUAUUGACUGAAAAGCAAAGAUUAUCUGUUUGGGCUGUUUUAAAGAAUUUUAAAGAGGGCAGGAAAGGGCUGUGCCCCAUCUUAGUGACAGUGGCAUGACAAGAUUUGGUUUUUCUUUAGUUACUUGAAAUAACAGUCAACUUUUAUAUGUGUUCUUAUUUUUUUUGCGUGUGAUGGACAUUGGUCCUGAGCUAACAUCUGUGCCAAUCUUCCUCUAUUUUAUGUGGGACACCACCACAGCAUGGCUUGAUCAGUGGUAUAUAGAUCCACGACUGGGCUCUGAACCUGCGAACCCUGGGCCCCUGAGGCGGAGCAUGCCAACUCAACUGUCGGGCCUGACCCUAUAUGUGUUCUUAGAUUUCUACUACUCCUAACCUCAAAGGAACUUGAGGUACUGUGACGAGGAGUAAACACAUAAUAUCCCAGUUUCACGCAAUGGAAGCAGCAACAGAAACAGGAAGUAAACCAGAAGAAUUUAAAAGCAAGCAAGAAAAUAAACAUGUUCCAAGCAAAAGCAAGAAAAGUUUUUGUAGAAAUGAUAGUAGUCGAAAGCCUAAGCAUGAUACGAAGAGGUGGUAAGUAAUUCUGUCUGUUGGAGUGGCACCUGAGCGGCUGGAAGGCCAGAUGGAUAAAAACUUGGGAUGGGGAAGAAACAUUCCAAGCCAAGGGAAUAGCAAAAACAAAUAAGCAUUGGGAGCGAGGCAGCGGGUUGGAGAACUACAAGUAAUUUCAGGAAUUUUGCAGCUUUCUCUAUCUAGCUUCUUAGGUUUUUCAUUCAGCAAAUAAUAAUAAUUGCUAAUUGGUGCCAAUCACUGUACUAAUCGUUCAUGUUCAUUAUCUCACAGUAAUCUUAUCUAAUAGAUACUAUUGUUAUCCCCAUUUUAUAGAUGAGGAAGUUGAGGCUUUGAGAUUUACGUAACUUGCCCAAUGUCAUGUAGGUAGUAAGUGGUGAAGGCAGGAUUCAAACCCAGGCAGUAACUCUCAUUUUAGAGCCUGUCCUCUUAGCUUGUAACUUGUCUCCCAAACCAAGCAAAGCAGCUGGUAACUGAAGAAACAACCCUCUGGGUGUCCCCGAGUCUUCCUGUUUGCUGGAAUUACUGAGCCCUGAAUAUUUAAGUAAUCUUAGAUGGAACUUCCGUCAUGGCAACCCAACAUUUCAGACGACGAUGGGGGGUUAGGUGGAGCUUACAUUCCCCCUCGUAAUCUCUGGCUGUGAGUUCUUAUUGAUCCAAUUCUAGAGCCUCUACUCUCACCAUCCACUUUUUUCACCUUGGUGCCUGAUUCUGACCACCGAUCUGAUUCCUCCUUGCCCAAGUUCCACUGACGCGGAGCUUUCGUUGUAGAAGCUUUGACCGAAUGUUUGGUAAAGUGCUGUUAGUGGGUGAGAGCAAGUAGUAAAGUGCAAACUUGGAGACAUUCACCAUGGGCAAGUCCUGAUGGAAUUCUCACAGAAAACAAGUCUCAGCCUAACCUUGUUAUCAUUACCGAUGAUCAUUUACCUGACAUUGAUCAAGCGCUCUCAUCAUGCUGCGUGUGAUAUAGUCACAACUGGAAAAGCCUUCUGGCCGUCUCUCAAGAUUUUUUUCCUUAUAGCAUAAACGGAAAGAGGACAGUGAACACAAUAUACAAACCAAUUUGUUAAAUAAUCCUUAGCUUUUAUUUUUCUGUGAGUUCUUAUUAAAUGAAACAUAUGUAGGGAAAGGGUUACCCUGUUUGUUUGUGUUGGACUUUUUUGAAAUUUGGGAAAUAAUGUGUCAAAGUGUGGAGGGCAAUCUCUUGAAUAGAUCAAUAUGCCCCAGUCAAGGUCUAGUUCGCCUUUUCUAGGUAAGUAGGUGAAAGGGUAAUGGUGAUAAUGUGGG